Molecule: long non-coding RNA, 228 nt
Filed under: Elaeis guineensis (African oil palm)
Lineage: Eukaryota; Viridiplantae; Streptophyta; Magnoliopsida; Arecales; Arecaceae
Description: long non-coding RNA (EGUI_LNC051225)
Source: RNAcentral
CUUACGGUUUCUUCUACUUCUAAUUAAGUAUUAGACUCUGACUCGAGUGCUCAUAUAUGUACCUCAAUACAGGGUCUGAUAGAAAGUAGGAGGUUAAGGAAAGGUAACAUGAUCCUUCGGGUUGGUAAUAGAGCAAAAGUUGCUGCAGAGAUCGUUGGCACUUACCCUCUUUGAUUAUCAUCUCGCGUUAGAUUAGAUUUGAAAGACUGUUAUUAUAUUCUUGUAGCU